CGGUAGGGUAUUGGCCUACCGUGGCAAUGACGGGUAACGGGGAAUUAGGGUUCGAUUCCGGAGAGGGAGCCUGAGAAACGGCUACCACAUCUAAGGAAGGCAGCAGGCGCGCAAAUUACCCAAUCCUAAUACAGGGAGGUAGUGACAAGAAAUAACAAUACAGGACUUUUUGGUUUUGUAAUUGGAAUGAGUUAAGUAUAAACCCCUUUACAAGUAUCAAUUGGAGGGCAAGUCUGGAAA
This 240-nucleotide ribosomal RNA is filed under the name Cryptosporidium meleagridis. RNAcentral's name for it is "partial 18S ribosomal RNA". It matches the Rfam family "Eukaryotic small subunit ribosomal RNA", at positions 326 to 567 of the family's 1831-position model. Lineage: Eukaryota; Apicomplexa; Conoidasida; Eucoccidiorida; Cryptosporidiidae. The record is from RNAcentral.